Lolium rigidum is the source of this 550-nucleotide long non-coding RNA. RefSeq lists it as uncharacterized. The transcript has 2 exons. The record is from RefSeq and is a predicted model, not a curated record. Lineage: Eukaryota; Viridiplantae; Streptophyta; Magnoliopsida; Poales; Poaceae.
CGGAGCUUGCGGCUGCGGCCUCGGCGAUUGAGCCCGCGCGGCAGCGUUGUCGAUUGAGCUCCCGACCACGGCAAGUGCACUGUCGAUUGAGCUUGUCACUGCGGCAAGGAGGCGCACAGGGAGAGGGGAAGCGGGAGCUAGCUACUGACUGCAGGAGCACGGAGCUCUGCUCGCCAUCGACGUGAAAGAUUGCAGAUUCAAGUUGUACCAGUACUACAUACCUGUUGAAGAGGAUGUAGGAGGAGCUUCUUCCAUGCGAAAGAAGAACGUUGUUCUGGAUUGUGAUCCACGCAAAGGAAAUUUCUCACGGGGUGCUGGAAGAUCGCCUCCGGCAACUAGCCUGUGCGAGCGUGUCGGAAGAUCGCUUCUAGCCACUAACUUGUUCUCAAUUUCUUUGAUCUUUAGGGCUGCAACUUCCGGCGAGAUUUGUAGGAGAAACUAAUCACGUGGGGAAGGAGAUUCUGGGGUGGUAUUGUUUGGCGGGUAGAAAAAAAUCUGUUACCUAAGUUUAUGGAGAUUAACUGAAUCAGAAAUAUACGCUGUGUUAUUA